RNAcentral lists this ribosomal RNA (251 nucleotides) under uncultured bacterium. Its description in RNAcentral is "partial 16S ribosomal RNA". It matches the Rfam family "Bacterial small subunit ribosomal RNA", at positions 93 to 354 of the family's 1533-position model. The record is from RNAcentral.
AAGCGGCGAACGGGUGAGUAACACGUAGGUGAUCUGCCCAUCAGACGGGGACAACGAUUGGAAACGAUCGCUAAUACCGGAUAGGACGAAAGUUUAAAGAUGCUUCUGGCAUCACUGAUGGAUGAGCCUGCGGCGCAUUAGCUAGUUGGUGGGGUAAAGGCCUACCAAGGCGACGAUGCGUAGCCGACCUGAGAGGGUGAACGGCCACACUGGGACUGAGACACGGCCCAGACUCCUACGGGAGGCAGCAG